Long non-coding RNA from Triticum aestivum (bread wheat), 1932 nucleotides. RefSeq lists it as uncharacterized. The record is from RefSeq and is a predicted model, not a curated record. The transcript is spliced from 3 exons. NCBI's taxonomy places the organism in Eukaryota, Viridiplantae, Streptophyta, Magnoliopsida, Poales, Poaceae.
CGGGUGACUCUAAGGUCUAUAUCCUCAACAGUCGCGUUGUGCCAGAUCGAGGUAGCAUUCACCGUCGUCUGAUCCAUGAAAUUUGAGAUCGCCGUCGCAUGGGUGGCCGAUGGCCAACACGCGUAGGUCAUGGAUGACCCUCCCUCACAAGCCAUGCAGUCUGGCUCACCACCUCAGGCCGACGCUGUGCCUCCUCGGCGGGGCAGGCGACGACCUCUUCCUCCUCGUGUUGUCUCCGUCCUCCUACUCAAGCCAUCGCCGUCGCCUCCCAUCCUUCGUGGCCUGCCUGUGUGAGCCCACUGCUGGAGGACGACAUAGAACAUGGAGCAGAUCCCAGCCGGAGCGGUCCGACGUGGUGUUCGUGGCCAAGGAGCGGUGGUCGACGCCAUCGAGCAGGGGCCCUCGGUCGCCUGCCCUCCUCUUGCUGCUAUCCUCCACGUCCCUGAAGAACAGUAUCGAGAGCAGCACGGAACAGACGCAAUCGACAGUACUACAUUACUGCAGUCUGCACAUGUUGUGUUGAGGGGAGGAGUUGCUAGCAGUGGCGGAGCUACGCAGCCAAAGCUGGGCGGGCCGGCAUGAAGGAAGAUCACUAUUUUUUGUUCUCAUGAACCAGUUUACUUUAAUCCUACACUGUAUUUGCCGUGGGAUGGGUGGGCCAUGGCCCAUUUUCGUAAUGCUUAGCUCUGCCAGUGGUUGCUAGCAUGCCAUAAUAUUGUGCUUCCCUUCUCUACAAUCAUGCUCGUUUGAUGCAUUGCUUCACAUCACCAAGUUAUUGGUUCGACUGAGGUAUCAGGUAUGCAUCUUUUAGAUAAUGGAAGGCCUGCAUCUAAACUUCUAAAGAAACACAUUAUGUGAGUUAACUAUUCUAUUUGAUGAAUUGUCGUGUAAGCUUGGUAGUUCAGAAAAUAUUUUGUUUCUUAUAUCAUGUGGUCAACACAAUGGAGAAACAGAAGAGAACAUUUAUCGUUUAGUUUCUUAAUAUCAUAUUUUAGGUUUUGUAAUUUUAUGUGUGUAGAAUGUUCCUAUAUUAAAUUUAUCAUUUUCAUAAAUAUAUUAUGACUCUGAAUGUUGUUAAAGUUGUAGGUUUUCUUGGCCUAAUUCCAUCGCAUCAUUAACUGUUUGGUGUAUCCACAGAAGCAUAAGGAUAAUUUUCCAAUAAAUCACUAGGCAUGUACUUCCAGGAAUUUGCAGGGAAUUUUACAUGAUUUUCGGCACAAAUCUGAAUUUGUCCAGACCCCGCAACUCCUCAUGUCCUUCACACUCCUUGGAUUCACUGGAGUCUGGACACCGGAGGUGUGCAAAAGCCCCGGUGUCAGUUUGUUCAGAGAGGGAGUCAGGUAGCCCCGAAGGAAGACCCUGUUUUCAAAUCUUAGCUCCGCCACUGAUAGGUGGGGUGCCGGCCGAGGAGGCAACAUCCACUUCUUCUGUGGACAAGGCCGGAGAUCCCGAGAGCAUCAGUAGAAUAGGAGGAGGAGGCAUAAGAGGCUGAGAGGGGUGACAUGGAGCAUCAGAAGGUGCCCUCGCUGCAAGAGAGGGGCCCCUGCCAAUAGUCCUUGUGGGCUUGUGGCACUGGCCACACGCAGUGCAUCACCAACCAUGAUCGUCCAGGCUGUGGCAUGGGGGUCGUGCUUGCUGCUGGUCCAACGAUUCCCCCACCCUGAUGAUAAGGCCUCAUCCAUUCAAUUUUGACUAUGUAGACCACUAGCUUUUGGUAAGUGCAGCAUGCUGAAGUUACUUGAUAGCUAUUUUCGUGUUCUGUAAUUCGGUGGUACAAGGUUGUCACAGCCCUAGAAUUCUGCUUUGUAAUUAGUUGCAUCAGUGAGUUGCAUCCAUGCAUCAUGUUUUAAUUCAAGAAACUGGAAUUGAGGGAAUUCCGAAAGCCUCAAAAUUCAAUUAAAAGAAGGGCAAGAACCCUUAAAAUUGCAUUCA